Long non-coding RNA from Grammomys surdaster, 1013 nucleotides. RefSeq lists it as uncharacterized. The transcript is spliced from 5 exons. The record is from RefSeq and is a predicted model, not a curated record. NCBI's taxonomy places the organism in Eukaryota, Metazoa, Chordata, Mammalia, Rodentia, Muridae.
ACUUUGUCCUGGCAUAACAGCCUCGCCAACACCAUUCCCAGUUUCCUGCUGUUCCCCAGCUUUGGGGCUGGGAGGAGCAAACCCACCCCCACCCCCACCUCCACCCUACCAGCAACCCACCUUCAGCACAAGCACUCCUUUGCCUAGGAAGAGGCAGGCUUCAGUUCUUCCAUUGCUCUAUGCUUCAACCUCAAUCGGUCUCCAGCUCUUUAAAUGCCUAGGAAUUUGGAAAUAAUCACUGGCUUCCUAUUGCAAACUAGUGAUACUCUUGAACUCAGUCUCAUCCAGAUCAUCCCAGAACAACUCUCACAGCUUCUUAUCCUAUCGAUGCACUCACUGGCUGUGGGUGUGCAGUAAGUGUGAAAAAAAAUGAAAAGGUAACUAUAAAGCAGAAACAAUAAAUCUAUACAAGUUCUAGAAAACCACCAACAUUCUACAGUCAUUAACUAAACCAUUAAUCAAAUAGGUGUAGUUUUCAACCAGAAAGAAGCCUUCAGAUGGCCAACCAUUUGUUACAUCAUAGCUUAUGAAAUAAUCCAUCUUUUUUUCAUAAGCCAGCCUUCCUGCUCAGCAGUACACUAGGAGACAAAUCUUUCAGCUACUUCUGCUGGUGUCCUAUUGCCUGCAACCUGAGUUUAGGAAGGAUACAUUAAAGUGUAGAGAAGCAAGAAGAAGAAGGCCUUGUAGGGCAGAGCCCAUGCUUAGAAGAGGGAAAUUACCCUUGAGGACAAGGAAAACUUCUUCUGAGAACCAGUCUCAUCUCCUUGAGAGCUGACAGCUGUAGGCCUCCUUCAGCUCCUUUGCAGAAACAGAAUUGACGAUCAGCCAGACAGGACCCUGACAGUGACUGCAGAAUUGUGCAUGCCCACUACCCUCCGGCACCAACUUUUUCUCUAUUUAUAAACCCAAAUUCAUGUCGUUAACCAGAAGUUGGACCUGGGGUCAGGAACUACCUUUAUUAAUUUCUCUUCUCUGUAUGGUCACAUUAAAUAAACCUCUCGCUACUUUCUACU